Molecule: long non-coding RNA, 9443 nt
Organism: Camelus dromedarius (Arabian camel)
Lineage: Eukaryota; Metazoa; Chordata; Mammalia; Artiodactyla; Camelidae
Exons: 4
Source: RefSeq, a predicted model, not a curated record
UGCAGAUAGUACAGUUCACAGGAGCAGGGACGUCUGGGCACGGACGCCGGAGCUCCGCGCGACUUUCAGGAAGCCCUGCCCUCCCCCCCCCGCCGCGUGCACAGGGGGACGCUGCACCUGCGCCGGGACGCGCUGGCCGGAGCCCCUGCUGCGGCCCCGGGGACGGGCACCGGCCCGACGACCGCCCGGACACGGGAUCCUGGCAAAAUUACCAACAAACCCAUAAAGGACACUGAAGGCCAUUCAAUCUCCAUCUUCACCGCCAGUCCCACAAACGCUGAAGAAAUAAGCUAUGUCUCCAAAGACCGACACUCCAAAGAGCACAGUUGCACCCUAAAUCCAGGGCAGGCUUCAGGUCUUCGGGGAAUGAUUGAUUAGCUUCUGUGACUCUGACUUUAGAUUCCAGGACGUCCAGACACAUGGCGCCCCACCGUGGAAGACAGCUGUUCACACACUGUUUUAUAUCAAGUCAGGUAAAUGAGGGGCUGCGGGGGUGUAGACUGCGUCCGGUGGGGCAACGGGAUGUAGCCACGUGCCUGAGAGUCAAGGAAGACACACGCGCACACGGAACACCGACUGUAUUCAAGGAAGUACGUUGGAUCCUCGGGGUCUGUAGAUGAUGAAGGGUCAGUCCCUGACCUCAAGGGUCUCACUGUCUGGUAGGAGAACAAGAGAGAAGCCCAUGCAAGUGGCUGGUGUAUCUAUUUUUCACUUUUAAAGGGACUGUCACAUAGAAAAAGAUUUGGUAUCGAAACCAGAGUUCUCCAUCCUCUUGGGUGCUCGUCCUUAACCUCCCACACUUACUCUCCUCGGUUUAAAGUUCAAUGGGAGAUACCAGAUGGCCUGUGAGUCUCAGAGUAUCUGCACAGAACAUCGUUUGCAUUGUCUUCUUGUACAAUUUUGUUUAAGAAAAUCCUCAGCUAGUAAAUUUGGUCACAAAAAGUGUUAAAAAUAGAUACAAAUGCAUUGUACAUCUAGAAUGAGUGGGGAGGAACCGCAGACUCUGUCACCGCCCAGCAGCUUGUCCCAGACGAGUCUGUGUUUUGAGAGUCAGUUGAGUGUAGCACUCAAUGUUUUUAGAGAAUAGACAUCUGUCUCCAUCCUAUGGCUGCAUGAUGUGUUUAUUUGUACAAUGAUCACCAUCUUUUUCUUAAAGCAUUUAGGGUACUUAUGGGCAGAUCUAUACUCUUGUGCCUGAAAUUCUUUGACCUCUAAGCUUUUUGCUUGUCCUCUUUUUUUUUUCCCCCAAAAUUCUUGCAUUCAUUAGAUCCUUUUCAAGAAACCUAACGGUAUUUGCAUUUGUGUAAUUCUCUCAUUGCUGAAAAGCAUUCGUUUCAUGGCUGGAAUGUUGCAUCUGUUCAACGGCCUCCAGGCAACACUAAAAACUAGUUUUAAGACAGGAAACUGGGAAGAGUCGUGUGUUUAACUGGAGUUUCAGAGGGGAUAUAACGAAAAGCACCUACAUUGACUUUGAUCCAAGAUUAUCUGGUUAAUGCCCUCGCUGAUUAAAAAUUGUGAGCUCUGAAGCCACUCCGUUAUUAAUGGUAGAUAACAGAUUGCUAAGAACAUUUCUACCACUGUGUCAUUGUGUCUAACAGACAUUUACGAUUACUGCAGGAGAGAGGUAGCUUGUUAAUUAAGUCCAAAAGGAAUAAUUCUGAAAAAUAGGGCACAGUUAUCACACGCUUUUGCCAGAAACUAAGUGUUUUCUCACUGGCUCUGAGGUGGUGAGCAGUGCCCUUACAGAGUUCUAAAGAGUAAUUUCAUAAAGAUCGCCUACAUCAGAUCAUAAUUUUCCACUAUUACCUAAUAACAUCAAAGAUAGUUUAACUCCAUCUCUGAUAGACAUACAUUUAUCAGGUGGUCCUUUUUGAAAAUUUAAGCCAUUCGAUUUUCUGUAAAUAAGUCAUUAUGAAAGGAAAGCAACUCAACAGUGAAGAUUUGGAGAUUUGGGUGGAAGAAAACCUUUCUCCCUGCGAAGUCACUUUCUUCUUUCUCUCUCUCGCUGGAAAAGUCUUUUAAUAUAUAGUAAUUUCUGUCUAACUUUUUUCAGAGGAGAAAGUUAUAAAUAUAAUGAGUUGUUUAAAAUUGUUUAAAUAUCUGGAUUAUUGCUACACAUUUAAUAAGGGACAUUCUUACAUUGGUACAGAGAUAAAGUAAUCUCUGAAUGAAGUCUUUUGUCUUUUCUCUCCUCAAUUAUGAUUUCGAGGACUCGAGUUGCCACGUGGUCCCAUUGUUCAAGGAGCAAGCUGAUCUAUUAAUAUUUCUUAAAAGAAAAAAAUUACUGUGAACUGUUAACUAAAUGCUGGGGUUUUGCCUGUUUGUUCUUUUAAAAUGUAGACUGGAGGAAGUAUUAAUGAAAGCCUAUAGAAUUAUUAUCUUUGACUAAUGAAAAUAAAAAAUAGAAUAAAAAUAUACCAACCAUAGAAUCACUUGUCUAGAAGAGGUCAUUAGUCAGGGUUCAAAAUCAAUGCAUCAGUCCUUUAGACAAUUAAUCCAAACAUAUCAUAUGGCAUCUAUUUGAUGAAUAACUUGUGCUAAGGUUUUUCAUUUUCAUAAGAUUUAUUGAGCACUGUGAUACUUAACUUUAAUGGACUGGACUUCUGGCUGGAAUCCUUUCUCAGCCCACAGGUCACCUGCAGAGAGGAACUCCUGGCUGCGCGUUUCAGGAAGGAACCGGGAAAGGUUCUUGCAUGCCCAAGUCUGCUUUGGAUUAUUCAUUCUUAAGGGAAGAAGUCUAAAUUUCAAAGCAAAGCAAUCCUGACAUAUUUUUCCAGUAGCCAGACUUUGAAACAUUAAAGCAUAUGAAGAUGUGAUGAAUGUUCAAAUAUACAGUAAUACUGAAACCCUCGUCCGAUUCUGUGCAGAGCCAACGACAUACUUAUUUGAUUUGAAAUAAUGUAUGACAUUAGCUCAAGGACAAGAAACUUAUCCGCAAGGGGACCAGGAGACGGCAUCCUGACCGGACCGUGGUUGCCGCGCUCUGUGUUAACAUCGGCGGCCAGACAGAGAUGCACUGGGUUCGUCAAGGGUUCCGAACUUCGGGAGAGCUUGAGAUUGAGUCUGACUUGUAAGUCAGCAUCAGCCCUCUCGGGGAGGAGCCGCCUGUCCUGGAGGAGCUCGCCCUGCCUGUCAGCACCGCCCCAGGCGAGGAAGCGCCACGCGGAGGGCCAUCUUACUGGGGAUGUCCUCGUGCUGCUUUUUGAAAGGUGAUGUAUCUUGAGGCUAUUGAGAAAAGAAAUCUGACUUUUCUUUCUCUCUCUCUCUCUUUUAAUCUUAGAAUUGGGAACACAGCAGUUUGUGAAGGGAAGAAGCAUUAAAAUCUUAGGAGACCCAGAUUUAAAUACCUGCCCCUUAAAUAAUAAGGCGCCUCAUGCUCUCUUUCGCAGAAUAUCUCUUAGAAAGGACUGUUUGGAAAUAAAUUAAACUAGUGUAUCUGAGGGUGAUUUUAUUAUCCAGACAUAAUCUAGGAAAUGAAAGCUCAGACAAGUUAUGUAACCAGGCGGGUGAGGGGCAGACCCCAGUCCGAUGACUCAGUUCCUCCCUGUUCAGUUACUCUGCUGUGUCUCCUAGGAAGGUAGCUUUGUGGUUGCUGCAGUUCCCAUGCAGAUAAAACCUUUCUACAAUACACAUAGUUUGUAUAUAUAUAUACUCUCUACUAAAAGAAAGUUUUAAUUCAACUUGAAAUAAUAAAUGGUUAAUAUAAGGAAAGUGAGAUAAGCAAAAAAUAUCAAUAAUUUUAGGCUUGUAUUAAAAGUGACCUUCAUUUUGGAGUAAUGAUGGUUCCUUGUUUCUUUCUUUCCUUCUUUCUUUUUUUAUUGAGGUGUAGUUGGCUUAUGGUGUUGUGUUAGUCUCUGGUGGACAGCAUAGUGAUUCAGUUAUAUACGUAUGUAUAUUAUUUUUCAGAUUCUUUUUCAUUAUAGAUUAUUACAAGAUAUUGAAUUUAGUUCCCUGUGCUCUACAGUGAGUCCUUGUUGUUUAUCUGUUUUGUAUAUAGUAGUGUGUAUCUGCUAAUCCCAAACUCCUAAUCUAUCCCUCCCCUUUUCCCCCUUGGUAACCAUAAGUUUGUUUUCUAUGUCUGUGAGUCUCUUUCUGUUUUGUAAAUAAGUUCAUUUGUAACCUUCUCUAUUAGGUUAAACUUUGUAAAUAUUUGAGACAGUACAUAAUUUUUAAACCAACAACACAUAAACAUGUCUGUAAAUACUUUCAGAAACAAAGAUAGCUAGUCUGUCAAUUACCAAAUCUUUCCAGAAAAUACAACUUUCUUUUAAAAUGAUAAGGGCUUCAUAACGGUUAGCUGGACUGAUUUGCCUGUGAAAAACAUUUUUAAAUGACUUACGGUGUAUUUUGGAACAUAUAUAUAAUAUGGGAUUCGUAUGUAUAAAUCCAGUUAAUAUGUGUAUUAAAAACCAAUCAUUUUUUCCUCAUUACUAGUAACUUUGCCAAAUAGUACAAAGGUUGGGCUGGAAAUGGAUCGCAUCUCCAAAAACAAUUCAUAAAGACACUUUACAAAGCGAGCAGCGUAGAAUGAUUUCCACAGCUCAGUGGGGGAGGAAAACCAGAACCACUUUGGGCCCUUUGCCGUCGGCAGGAGUGAAGGCUGUCAGUAAUGACGAAGCUGUUGGACAACAAAAUCAUAGGCCCCUCUGGGAUGUCAGUGUUCCAGUUGUAAAAUCUGGCUAAUCUGAGCCAGGCUUUGGCACGACCGGCCCCGCGUUCCUGGCCUUCUCAGAGGAGAGCGGUGUCCAAGUAUCCCGCUUGGCUCUGGCUGCACCGAGCCAGUUUCUGACUCUGAUGCUCGCACUCUUCCUAUCGAAGUGGCCAGAAGUCCCGAUCACAGUUGUAAUCACCCAGAGCAAGCAUCUCUGGAACAGGCAUUUUACCUGUGUAACUGGUAAGGUGGAAGCGCCCGUGCUGAAACACUUCACGAGAUUUCAUAUCCGAAAGAGAGGAAGAAAUCCUCUAAGAAAAUGGUAAUGGGCCUGAGAAAGGGGUCGAGGCCCCCCAGUACCAGCGAAGCUGGCACCUCAUGUGUCACGAGCUUCUUUCAAGGCAAGAGAAGGGCGGAUGGCAAUGGCUCCCCCCUCCUUUUUUUCCUUUAAUUGUAGUACAGUCAGUUUGCAAUGUUGGGUCAGUUUCUGGUGUCCAGCACAAUGUUUCCGUCACACAUACACAUACAUACAUUCCUUUUUAUAUUCUUUUUCAUUCUAAGUUACUGCAAGACAUUGAACAUAAUUCCCUGUGCUACACAACAGGACCUUGCUGUUUAUCUAUUUUAUAUUUAAUAGUUAGUGUCUACAAAUCUCAAACUCCCAGUUUAUCCCUUCCCACACCAUCCCCCCCACACCAUCCCCCCAAUAACCAAAAGUUUGUUUUCUGUGUCUGUGAGCCUGUUUCUGUUUUGUAAAUACGUUCAUUUGUGUCUUUCUUUUUUUUAGAUUCCACAUAUAAGCGAUACCACGUGGUACCUGUCCUUCUCUCACUGGCUUACGUCACUCAGAAUGACAGUCUCCAGGUCCCCCAUGUUGCGCAAAUGGCAGUUUUUCUAAGGCACCAUUUCUCACUUUUUCUAUUCUGAAUAGACUCCCUUCCAUGAAUAGAAAGUAAACGUGAUGAAACGAUAAGCACCCAUGAGUGUCAGCUGCCCCUGGGACGGUCAGAUGAGCUGGAAUUCAGGCUGAAGGCCGUGUGGUGGGAAAGCCUCCUGCCCUGCGGGUUGUCAGGAUCGGAGCCCGCGAGCUCCACGGAGGUCAGGGCGUCAGGCCGAGGCGGGGGCUGCAGACUGACGUGGAGACGCUCUAUUUCACACGCUUGCCCUCUGGAAGGACUGGCAGAGGCAGUCACUUAAAUUAAACACAGGUCAUCAGACAAGAUACACAGUCUAUUCCUGAAACAGACAACUUGAGCACGCCAGGUCCCCAUGGCCUUUUACCGAGCCUCAUCACGCUCCCCUUUACGUCCCUCUGUCAGUUCACGUUAGGGCUGGCUGUGUUUAAAAGUGGCAUUGCAUGUAUUCUGCGACCCUCUGGCUCGGAGCAAAGAAAUUGCUUUGGUUUAGUUAUGACCUAGUAACCUUAACAAAACUGAAGAACUUAAUGUUCUCACAAGCCUAGGGAAGAGAGAGAAAAGCUAAAAUAAAUCUGGCCUUGAUACAAGCUGUUCCGAUUCUGCCCACACCCCUCUCCAAAUCCCAGGGAAGUGAAUGGGAAGAUCUCUGACCCUUAACUAUCUUAUUUCUUGUGACUCUUUUCAUUCAAGGAAAACUAGGCAUGGAUUGAGAUGGCUGCCACCUACUUUGAAUUCUGGAAUUAUAACAGUGUGUUCUAAAAAAAAAACACUACACACCACGGAAAAUGUAAAGGCUCAGUGCAAUCGAGUCUCGAUGUUUCCAGCAGGACUAUUUUACAGUCAAGGCUGUCAUGAAAAUAAAGAUGUGGAGGGCGUAGACUAGAAGGGGCAAAGUAGUGAUUGAAAGCCACGCUCGAAUUAGUGGAAAACUAUCGAACCAGCAGGUGGGGUAAAUUGUGAACCGAAAGUUACCGCAAACACAGGGCCCUGACGUCCGUUCUCUUUUCUGACACUAGGGUAGCUGCGAGCGAGAGCAAGAGCCCGACCUCCAGCCGUGGGCCGUCCACACCGCGCAGGGGUGAGGUAGGCUCUGCAGCAGACUCUAACUUUGUGAACCACGUAUGCAGCUUAGUCCAAGGAAAGGAAAACAGUGAACGACGGAAUUUGCUGAACUUACUCCUGCUGUUCCCUGUGCACAUGACAAGGCAUUUAGUGGAAUUUCUUACUGUUGCGGGUGAAUCAUUUUUGCAUAAGAAUUUUAAGUUUUGGUUAUAUUCUGCUAAGGACUUCUAGAAAAAUAUUUUGGAAAACAAAGAAAAGCAAGGUUCUGCGUUGCAAAUAGUCCCAGCUGCCCUAGGAUUUUGCUGUCAGUAGACUGACGCAUAUUUCGUGUUAAUGCAAAAUGCUCAGUUUAGCGGCUCCUUUCAUAGGGUCCCUGUUCUACAGAUGUCAGCAGCUAUGCCAAGAGGUGAGUGCGCAUGACUGAAAACGGUUGUAUAUUGACUCGACACUCAUGUCACAGUCGACAGGCAACAGAACAGGAGUGACACGCCUUUGGUUGUAACGGACCCUGCAAACCACUGAGUCCCCUGUCCCGCGCUAAUAUUUUAUCCAGCAGCAGCAUGGCAACGCCUACUGAUUAGGCAGAUUCCCCUAUGGGGUUCUACUCUGUAAGAAAUACUUGCUUAUUUCAAAAGGAUUAAACUGCCAGUCCAGGUUCAUCAUCGUCUUAUGUCCUGAGACUACUGGUCACCUCAGUAUGUCCUCCCAAAAAAUGACUAAUCUCUCCUCCCCUAAUAAAACCGUCAGUCCCCGCGCAGACAGUUCGUCUGGCAGGUAUUAAACAGUUACAGACUUUAAACUAUUUUAGCUGACUGGACUAUGGCAUUGUGUAAAAAUUUCGAGUACCCGUUUCCCUUAUGUUUCACGAAUCAUCUCUUAUUUGAUGAGCCCGUGGUCAUCCCCGAGGUGGUGCUCCGAACUGUUGUCAGCUGUCUCACCACAAAUAAUUACGGCCAUGCUGGAUGCCAGGGAAGUGUAUGAAAUAAUGGCUUUCAGGUCUUGUUUUGAUAUCUGCCAAAUGACUUUCUUUUUAAUUGAAUGAUAGAAAAUUAUGGAGAGUGGUCUUAACAAUGUAUUCACUAGAGUUCAUGAUAAUUUAGAACAACAUAGAUCACAGAGCACUCUUGGGGAAAGAGGAUAUGAAAAGAACCAAAAAGGAAAAAAAAACUGCUGGGAUUUUCAUAUCCAAAACAUUGAAAAAUGAACGGUUUUGUAGCAUCCUAGAGUGCACCUGUCACAGUGCUGAUGGAAUCUCUAUGUCGGCAACUAUGAAAGAAUGUAUUGAGUUGUUUCUUCAUUUCUUAUUUGCUCAGUAGUUUCUAAAUUGUACUAAUUUUGUAACUUUAUUUUAGAAAAAAAUAUCUUAAAUAUGAAAGGAGAACACUAACAAUAUAAUUUUAGCAAAUGUAAGAAGAUUUUGUUGAAUUUGUAUCAUCUGAAUACACCAUGUUUACCUACUACACGCAUAAUCAUAUUUAAACGAUCAGAUGUGUUCUGAUGCGAUACCUCCAGCUACUUUGAAUAACAAACCCUCCAGGUUAUUAACCGUGAGAUAAUUUCACCUCUGGAACGAAGCCAAGAUAGGCAUUUUUUUAGCUCAAUGAAACAGAUCCUUUCCUCCCACACAGUGAGAUGUGGAGGCUCGCCAGCCUCUCAGCUGGAAGAACCCCACUUCUUCUUUCUUAUUCUUUCGAAAUGGCCUAAAACGCAGAAACCGCGUGACUACAGCUACCCUGUUGUUUCUGUCUGCACCCCCCCGCCCCUUCAGAGCCUCACAGACACUGCAAAGUCGGCAGAACGCUGAGCUUAGAGGUUGCUUCAGUGAACAUUCAACGCUGUCGGUGAGUUUGGAAUUAAAAUCAAAACCAUCGACCGUUGAUUGUACCCUAUGGCCAACCACCACCGCCACCGUGGCUUUCGGACUUUGCUGAAGACAGGAGACCAGAGCGGGGCGCCCGGGAUGCUCUCCUCCCUGGGCGGAGACUACUUUUUAAAAGGUCACAAUCAACAUUCAUUGCUGUCGGUGGGUUAACUGUGUGGACAAGCUCACUGAACAAUGAAUGCAACUGUGGCCCCGCAUUUUGCAAUCACCGUCAAGAGACGUUCCCUCCCUGCAGGAUCUCUUGACGGUGGUAAUGCUGUGGUUUCCUCCGAAGUCUCUGGUCUACAGAGUCUUCACGUCUGUUCACUCAGUGUAUCUCGUAUGUUCAGAUUUCGACGGAAAAGGUACUCAUUUAAACAAGAGCAAUACUUUUCUACACUUCCGUGUGUUAUAAAUAGAGCAUGUUUUAAGAGGUAAACUAUGUCCCUCAUGGAAUCUAUAACAUAACAGGCUAAGUCUGAACAUCUUCCUGCAGGAGUGAAAAAAAGGCAUGGAGGAGUCCAGCGGCCACGCCGUUGGCACCCAGGCCUUAAAACAGCAGCAACACUGCAUCUGCUGUUAGAUUCCCUGGUCAGAGCGGUACAUAAGCACUGGCUACAUUUAUCUUUGUGCCGCUCAGGGUGGGGACUGACUCAAACCAUACCUCCUCUUGCCAUGGAAUUUGCUAAGGAGGGAAGAAAAUAUGUAUAAGUAACUAUGUAACUAUCAGAACACUUACGAGAGUCAUACAGCAGACGGAUUUCCAUAAUUAAAUCCAAAUUGAAGGUAACAGUUUACCCACCUUCUUUGUGUUCUGCCUUCCGAAAGCCUUCCCCACAUCAUCAGACUUAGGGCCACAGCCUGUGAGUUGCCUCACGUCACAUCAUGGCUGGGGUUCCUUAGCUAGUUUGGCUCUACAUCUUUACAUAGUACAAUUGUCUUUGAAUUUGAU